This 505-nucleotide ribosomal RNA is filed under the name uncultured bacterium. RNAcentral describes it as "partial 16S ribosomal RNA". It matches the Rfam family "Bacterial small subunit ribosomal RNA", at positions 28 to 507 of the family's 1533-position model. The record is from RNAcentral.
GACGAGCGCUGGCGGCGUGCCUAAUACAUGCAAGUAGAACGCACAGUUUAUACCGUAGCUUGCUACACCAUAGACUGUGAGUUGCGAACGGGUGAGUAACGCGUAGGUAACCUGCCUGGUAGCGGGGGAUAACUAUUGGAAACGAUAGCUAAUACCGCAUAAUAUUAAUUAUUGCAUGAUAAUUGAUUGAAAGAUGCAACUGCAUCACUACCAGAUGGACCUGCGUUGUAUUAGCUAGUAGGUGAGGUAACGGCUCACCUAGGCGACGAUACAUAGCCGACCUGAGAGGGUGAUCGGCCACACUGGGACUGAGACACGGCCCAGACUCCUACGGGAGGCAGCAGUAGGGAAUCUUCGGCAAUGGACGAAAGUCUGACCGAGCAACGCCGCGUGAGUGAAGAAGGUUUUCGGAUCGUAAAGCUCUGUUGUAAGAGAAGAACGGGUGUGAGAGUGGAAAGUUCACACUGUGACGGUAUCUUACCAGAAAGGGACGGCUAACUACGUG